This 254-nucleotide ribosomal RNA is filed under the name uncultured bacterium. RNAcentral describes it as "partial 16S ribosomal RNA". It matches the Rfam family "Bacterial small subunit ribosomal RNA", at positions 524 to 776 of the family's 1533-position model. The record is from RNAcentral.
UACGGAGGGUGCAAGCGUUUGUCCGGAAUCACUGGGCGUAAAGGGCGCGUAGGCGGCUCGGUAAGUAGGGGGUGAAAUCCUGCGGCUUAACCGCAGGGCUGCCUUCUAAACUGUCGAGCUUGAGCACGGUAGAGGCAGAUGGAAUUCCCGGUGUAGCGGUGGAAUGCGUAGAGAUCGGGAAGAACAUCAGUGGCGAAGGCGGUCUGCUGGGCCGUUGCUGACGCUGAGGCGCGACAGCGUGGGUAGCAAACAGG